GAACGCUGGCGGCGUGCCUAAUACAUGCAAGUCGAGCGGGGUUAUUUUAGAAGCUUGCUUUUAAAAYAACCUAGCGGCGGACGGGUGAGUAACACGUAGGCAACCUGCCCCUCAGACUGGGAUAACUACCGGAAACGGUAGCUAAUACCGGAUACAUCCUUUCCCUGCAUGGGGAGAGGAGGAAAGACGGAGCAAUCUGUCACUGAUGGAUGGGCCUGCGGCGCAUUAGCUAGUUGGUGGGGUAAUGGCCUACCAAGGCGACGAUGCGUAGCCGACCUGAGAGGGUGAUCGGCCACACUGGGACUGAGACACGGCCCAGACUCCUACGGGAGGCAGCAGUAGGGAAUCUUCCGCAAUGGGCGAAAGCCUGACGGAGCAACGCCGCGUGAGUGAUGAAGGUUUUCGGAUCGUAAAGCUCUGUUGCCAGGGAAG
This 432-nucleotide ribosomal RNA is filed under the name Paenibacillus sp. R-30642. RNAcentral's name for it is "bacterial SSU rRNA". It matches the Rfam family "Bacterial small subunit ribosomal RNA", at positions 31 to 447 of the family's 1533-position model. The record is from RNAcentral. Lineage: Bacteria; Bacillati; Bacillota; Bacilli; Caryophanales; Paenibacillaceae.